This 499-nucleotide ribosomal RNA is filed under the name uncultured Glomeromycotina. RNAcentral describes it as "partial small subunit ribosomal RNA". It matches the Rfam family "Eukaryotic small subunit ribosomal RNA", at positions 591 to 1092 of the family's 1831-position model. Lineage: Eukaryota; Fungi; Glomeromycota. The record is from RNAcentral.
CCAAUAGCGUAUAUUAAAGUUGUUGCAGUUAAAAAGCUCGUAGUUGAACUUCGGGAUCAAUUGGUUGGUCAUGCCUUGGUAUGUGCCGUUCAUAUUGGUUCUCACCUUCUAAUGAACCAUAAUGUCAUUUAUUUGAUGUUAUGGGGAAUUAGGACUGUUACCUUGAAAAAAUUAGAGUGUUUAAAGCAGGCUAACGCUUGAAUACAUAAGCAUGGAAUAAUGAAAUAGGACAUCGCAUUCUAUUUUGUUGGUUUUUAGGAUCGAUGUAAUGAUUAAUAGGGAUAGUUGGGGGCAUUAGUAUUCAAUUGUCAGAGGUGAAAUUCUUGGAUUUAUUGAAGACUAACUACUGCGAAAGCAUUUGCCAAGGAUGUUUUCAUUAAUCAAGAACGAAAGUUAGGGGAUCGAAGACGAUCAGAUACCGUCGUAGUCUUAACCAUAAACUAUGCCGACUAGGGAUCGGAUGAUGUUGAUUUUUUAAUGACUCAUUCGGCACCUUACG